AUACGACUCUCGGCAACGGAUAUCUCGGCUCUCGCAUCGAUGAAGAACGUAGCGAAAUGCGAUACUUGGUGUGAAUUGCAGAAUCCCGUGAACCAUCGAGUCUUUGAACGCAAGUUGCGCCCGAGGCCUUUCGGUUGAGGGCACGCCUGCCUGGGCGUCACGCC
Molecule: ribosomal RNA, 164 nt
Filed under: Wisteria floribunda (Japanese wisteria)
Lineage: Eukaryota; Viridiplantae; Streptophyta; Magnoliopsida; Fabales; Fabaceae
Description: 5.8S ribosomal RNA
Rfam family: 5.8S ribosomal RNA
About the family: 5.8S ribosomal RNA (5.8S rRNA) is a component of the large subunit of the eukaryotic ribosome. It is transcribed by RNA polymerase I as part of the 45S precursor that also contains 18S and 28S rRNA.
Source: RNAcentral